AUACGGAAGGUCCGGGCGUUAAUCGGAAUUACUGGGCGUAAAGCGUGCGCAGGCGGUCUUGUAAGACAGUGGUGAAAUCCCCGGGCUCAACCUGGGAACUGCCAUUGUGGCUGCAAGGCUGGAGUGCGGCAGAGGGGGAUGGAAUUCCGCGUGUAGCAGUGAAAUGCGUAGAUAUGCGGAGGAACACCGAUGGCGAAGGCAAUCCCCUGGGCCUGCACUGACGCUCAUGCACGAAAGCGUGGGGAGCAAACAGGAUUAGAUACCCUGGUAGUCCACGCCCUAAACGAUGUCAACUGGUUGUUGGGGAUUUAUUUUCUCAGUAACGAAGCUAACGCGUGAAGUUGACCGCCUGGGGAGUACGGCCGCAAGGUUAAAACUCAAAGGAAUUGACGGGG
Molecule: ribosomal RNA, 395 nt
Filed under: uncultured bacterium
Lineage: Bacteria
Description: partial 16S ribosomal RNA
Rfam family: Bacterial small subunit ribosomal RNA
Source: RNAcentral